GGCUAAUUUUCUUCAAGCUGCUGUUGACUACAAGAAGAAGAUUGGAUUCAACAGAACACUAUUGAUAGAGCCUAAACCACAGGAACCAACAAAACACCAGUAUGACUGGGAUGUUGCGACUACGUUUGCUUUUCUACAGAAGUACGGUCCUACAGGUAA
Zea mays is the source of this 159-nucleotide RNA transcript. It is a transcript of the gene named xylose isomerase pseudogene, with no coding region annotated. The transcript has 3 exons. The record is from RefSeq and is marked validated. Lineage: Eukaryota; Viridiplantae; Streptophyta; Magnoliopsida; Poales; Poaceae.